This 200-nucleotide ribosomal RNA is filed under the name Exophiala pisciphila. RNAcentral's name for it is "partial large subunit ribosomal RNA". It matches the Rfam family "Eukaryotic large subunit ribosomal RNA", at positions 82 to 279 of the family's 3401-position model. Lineage: Eukaryota; Fungi; Ascomycota; Eurotiomycetes; Chaetothyriales; Herpotrichiellaceae. The record is from RNAcentral.
AGUAACGGCGAGUGAAGCGGCAACAGCUCAAAUUUGAAAUCUGGCCUCUUUGGGGUCCGAGUUGUAAUUUGUAGAGGAUGUUUCGGGUACCGCCUCGGUUUAAAUUUCUUGGAACAGAAUGUCAAAGAGGGUGAGAAUCCCGUCUUGGACCGGCGGUAGGGCCCAUGUGAAACUCCCUCGACGAGUCGAGUUGUUUGGGA